AGUAAAGUGGCCGAGAAUAGGCGAAAGAUUGUAGCUCUUUUUACGGAUUACCCCCUUUACAA
RNAcentral lists this transfer RNA (62 nucleotides) under Lamprotula coreana. RNAcentral describes it as "tRNA-Tyr". Lineage: Eukaryota; Metazoa; Mollusca; Bivalvia; Unionida; Unionidae. The record is from RNAcentral.